GCUGGCGGCGUGCCUAACACAUGCAAGUCGAACGAGAAAGUGGAGCAAUCCAUGAGUAAAGUGGCGACCGGGUGAGUAACACGUGACUAACCUGCCUUCGAGUGGGGGAUAACCUCGGGAAACCGGGGCUAAUACCGCAUAAUGCCUUCGGGUUAAAGGAGCAAUUCGCUUGAAGAGGGGGUCGCGGCUGAUUAGCUAGUUGGCGGGGUAACGGCCCACCAAGGCGAUGAUCGGUAGCCGGCCUGAGAGGGCGCACGGCCACACUGGAACUGAAACACGGUCCAGACUCCUACGGGAGGCAGCAGUGGGGAAUUUUGCGCAAUGGGGGAAACCCUGACGCAGCAACGCCGCGUGGAGGAUGAAGUCCCUUGGGACGUAAACUCCUUUCGACCGGGACGAUUAUGACGGUACCGGUGGAAGAAGCCCCGGCUAACUUCGUGCCAGCAGCCGCGGUAAUACGAGGGGGGCGAGCGUUGUUCGGAAUUAUUGGGCGUAAAGGGCGCGUAGGCGGUGCGGUAAGUCACCUGUGAAACCUCUGGGCUUAACUC
Molecule: ribosomal RNA, 548 nt
Filed under: uncultured soil bacterium
Lineage: Bacteria
Description: bacterial SSU rRNA
Rfam family: Bacterial small subunit ribosomal RNA
Source: RNAcentral